UCCAUUGCCAGAUGAGGAGCUGGUAUCUUUCAUCCUAGCAGGACUCGACUUCGACUACAAUCCUCUGGUCUCCUCUGUCGUCGGACGCACGACACCAAUUCCUUUGAGCGAUUUAUAUGCUCAGAUCUUAGCCUACGACA
Molecule: small nucleolar RNA, 140 nt
Filed under: Sorghum bicolor (sorghum)
Lineage: Eukaryota; Viridiplantae; Streptophyta; Magnoliopsida; Poales; Poaceae
Description: Small nucleolar RNA Z247
Rfam family: Small nucleolar RNA Z247
About the family: Z247 is a member of the C/D class of snoRNA which contain the C (UGAUGA) and D (CUGA) box motifs. Most of the members of the box C/D family function in directing site-specific 2'-O-methylation of substrate RNAs.
Source: Rfam by way of RNAcentral